Pelobates cultripes (western spadefoot toad) is the source of this 285-nucleotide non-coding RNA. NCBI's taxonomy places the organism in Eukaryota, Metazoa, Chordata, Amphibia, Anura, Pelobatidae. The record is from the annotation of a GenBank genome assembly.
GCCUGCAGUACUAAAGGAAGAAAAAAGGUAAAUUAACAGCAAAUAUAAACAUAUGUGUGUGUGUGUGUGUGUGUGUGUAUCUGCCAAUGUGUGUUAAUCUGUGUGUAUGUGCCAGUUUGUGUAUCUGUGUGUCAAGGUGUGUGUAUGUGUUAGUGUGUGUAUCUGUGUCUGUGUGUGUCAGUGUAUGUUUCUGUGUGUGUGUCUGUGUGUGUCAGUGUAUGUAUUAGUGUCUGUGUGUCAGUGUGUGUAUCUGUGUCAAGGUGUGUGUCAGUGUGUGUAUGUGCU